RNAcentral lists this long non-coding RNA (4069 nucleotides) under Homo sapiens (human). RNAcentral describes it as "HSALNT0235574". The record is from RNAcentral. Lineage: Eukaryota; Metazoa; Chordata; Mammalia; Primates; Hominidae.
GUCUUCCUCUGUCGCCAGGAUGGAGUGCAGUGGCACGAUCUCCACUCACUGCAACCUGUGCCUCCCGGGUUCAAACAAUUUUCCUGCCUCAGCCUCCCAAGUAGCUGGGACUACAGGUGUGCGGCACCACGCCCAGCUAAUUUUUUUGUAUUUUAGUAGAGACGGGUUUUCAGCACGUUGGCCAGGCUGGUCUCAAUCUCUUGACCUUGUGAUUUGCCCACCUUGGCCUCUCAAACUGCUGGAAUUACAGGCGUGAGUCACUGCACCCAGCUGGCUAAGUUUUGUAUUUUUAGUUGAGACGGGGUUUGCCAUGUUGGCCAGGCUGGUGCAGUUUUGAUUUUAUGUUUAUUUCUACAUUCUAAAAUUAAUAUGUUUUCCCCACUUCACUGCACACCUGCUUCCACUGUGUCACUCGCACCUGCCACAGAGGCCGACACGCAAGCGCUUGUACAUUCGGUGGAGAUGGGAAAGAACGUGGCCUGCAAACGCAGAGCUGUGACCCCCAAAUAACACUGUUCCUCUCCUCCUCUCCCUUCCUGUGAGGGGAAAGACCCACUUAGCCCUGAGCCCCAUCUCUCAGCAUCUGGGUCUGAAAGAGGCAGCCAGUCCCUGUGAGCCCCAAAGCCCUGACCUCAGAGCUGCAGGAGAGAGCUGGGAGCUGCGAGGUGGGAGCUGGGAGCUGGGAGCUGCGAGGUGGGAGCUGGGAGGUGGAAACUGGGAGGAGGGAGGCGGGAGCUGGGAGCUGGCAGGUGGGAGGCAGGAGCUGGGAGCUGGGAGGCGGGAGCCGGGAGGUGGGAGCUGGGAGGCGGGAGGUGGGAGCUGGGAGGAGGGAGGUGGGAGCUGGGAGGUGGGAGCUGGGAGGUGGGAGGUGGGAGCUGGGAGGUGGGAGCUGGGAGGAGGGAGGCGGGAGCUGGGAGGUGGGAACUGCGAGGAAAGAGGUGGGAACUGGAAGGUGGGAGGAGGGAGCUGGGAGGUGGGAGCUGGAAGGUGGGAGGUGGGAACUGCGAGGAAAGAGGUGGGAGCUGGCAGGUGGGAACUGGGAGGUGGGAACUGCGAGGAAGGAGGUGGGAACUGGAAGGUGGGAGGUGGGAGCUGGGAGGUGGAAACUGGAAGGAGGGAGGUGGGAGCUGGGAGCUGGAAGAUGGGAGCUGGGAGGUGGGAACUGUGAGGAAAGAAGUGGGAACUAGAAGGUGGGAGGAGGAAGCUGGGAGGUGGGAACUGGGAGGAGGGAAGAGGGAGCUGGGAGGUGGGAGCUGGGAGGUGGGAACUGAGAGGAGGGAGGCGGGGUUGGAAGGUGGGAACUUGGAGGAGGGAGGCGGGAGCUGGAAGGUGGGAGCUGGGAGGAGGGAGGCAGGAGGUGGCAGGGGAGGUGAGAGGAGGGAGGCGGGAGCUGGGAGCUGGGAACUGGGAGGAGGGAGGAGACAGGGGCUGUAAGGUGGGAGGCGGGAGCUGGGAGGUAGGAGGUGGGAGCUGGGAACUGGGAGGAGGGAGGCGGUAGCUGGGAGGUGGGAGGCGGGAGCUGGGAGGUGGGAGCUAGGCGGCGGGAGGAGGGAGGUGGGAGCUGGGAACUGGGAGGAGGGAGGCAGGAGCUGGGAGGUGGGAGGCGGGAGCUGGGAGGUGGGAACUGGGAGCUGGGAGGUGGGAAUUGGAAGGAGGGAGGAGGGAGGUUGGAGCUGGGAGGUGGGAGCUGGGAGCUGGGAACUGGGAGGAGGGAGGUGGGAGCUGGGAGGUGGGAACUGGAAGGAGGGAGGUACCUCUCUGGCCUGACGUAGGAGUAGAUUGUGUCCGAAGGAGGCAGAGGAUCAAACCCCAUCACAGACUGCGUGGUCACGUCCUUCAGAAAGGGACAUAAAACGAAGAUGCUACAGAUGCUGCCAGGGGGCCUCUACCUCUCCCAGCAGAGUCCUUCUGUCGACUCCAGCAUGGACUGGAUGCAUCUGCUGAGAGAUAGCCACAGAGUCUGACAGAAACGGCUGUGCUUUUUGUACCAACGAGCUUUGGGUGAGGGUGGGACAGUCCUUCUGCCACCAGGACACUCACGGGAGUCGAGAUGAACCUGCACGGCGUCUGCCCUGCACACCAGAGUGUGUGGUGGGGAAGGAAGGGGGUCACGUGCCGCUCAAGCCUGCCAACAUCUUCACCACGUGUCAGAAGCUCCCACUUCAGCAAAUGCAGGCUACAGGGACCCUGAGCUGCCCUCGGGUUGCACAGUGCCACGUGCUGCCACUCUACUGAGGAGAGUCAGAAGCUCACAGCCCCAGACAAAGCCAGCCAUGCCGGUCAUAAGGGCCCGCAGAGCAGCUGAAGUUAAACCAGGAGGCACUAAGCUGUCCCCAGUGGACGGUCCACGGUCCUGCGACCCUCUGACUUGCUGGUUUUCUCACUCGUUCUAUCUUAUCCCUUAACAACAGUACAAACUCCUUAGGUUUUGAGACAGAAACGGCACCUCCAGCACAGGAGGCGUCAGAGCAGGACUACACCCCACGACUACAGAGAAUCCCCCAGCAGCCGCACCACGCGCUCACAAGACCACGGAUGGAGCAGCUCACCACGGUGACGACUCAGCUUGUGCUCUGAGCCCCAAAGGAUUUCUCUCUCAAAACAACAAGCAUCCGAACCCGGGCUGCCAGGAAAGGAGGAGCCCUCUGCACUAGACCCUGCCCCUGCCGUGGCGGGGCUGGGCUGCUGAGGGAGCCCGCACCACGCACGCCUGCAUGUGGACCGCCCGGAGCAGAAGGGACGUGCAUGUGACCGGCUUACACAGAGCUCCCAUUUCAGCCUUUCUCCCUUACCGGGGGCAGGGCAGCGACGGCUUCCUUGAUCUCAGAGAGGAUCACAUGGCGGUGGAUAUUCCUGGGUGCACGCUGGUAGAGCACCUUCCGCCUAGGGCCGGGGAGAAACAAGGCACAGCAGAUAAAGCACAGCAAAUGAAAUGGUAACCGCCAUGGAGCCUCGGCCCCCACCCCCACCCAGCACGAGGCAUCUCGCUGCAUCUCUGGUGGCUGCAAAAACUGUACACUUUACUCUCGAGCAGAGGCACCAUGGCUGGUCCCUGGCCUGCGGCUGGGGAGCCUCUGGGGACCAAUCCCAGCCACAUGGCCAGUGACUCAGCCUCUUCAUCCAAAGAACAAGAACGAUGAGAGCCGUAGCCAGUGGCUUCUUGUGGGAAGUCACUGAGUUCAUCUCCAUGAAGGGACACCUGGGUGUGUCACCAUCGUCACUGCUACGGCUACAGGCACAGGCACUGGUCCCUGCUGGAAAUCGCUCUUGGAGAGCAGUACAGGGAACAAAAUGCUCCUGUCCAUGAGAAUGUCCAGUCCAGUGGGGACAGCAGACACGCGGACGGGCCCAUGACUGCCAGCGGCUGGGGGCACCAGCGCCUCUUGGGCACCCCCGGGCACACCUCAUGUCCGCGGCACACAGACUUCACUGUGGAGAUGCAAAUGGGCACCACUCCCAGGCGGUCCUGAGCCUGGCCACACCACUGCACAGAGCCACGGUGCUGAUGCACAGAACUAGCACAGGGCCAAGGGCGCAGACAAACGAGACAAGAACAGCAAGGGGAUGCCUGUCAGUUGCAGCAUAUUAGGGCAUGAGCCUCCGAAGUGUUCACACACAGGACAGGAGACUCUUUCUCGUCUCUGCCAGAUUUCUUUACUCCCAAGAUGCUGCUGUGAGAGACUCGUCAUCAUCUCACAGCUCAUGUGGAAACACUGCAAGACCCGAAGGCACCACUCCAGCCCGAGGCACCCGGGAACAGCAGCUCGGUACCCUGCGCUGAUCACCACAGCUGCCUCCCAGGAAGCCUCUGGGACACGCCAGGGGCUGUGCGCUGUCUUGUAGGCUCCACACAGGCCCCACAGCAAGGGAGGCCAAGCUGCUCACAGCCCUUCUCGCCUCCCGAAUGCGAGGCCCCCGUGUCUGGGAUGAGGGUCCCUGAGGAGGGGGCGUGGCAGGGCUUGUGUCAACCCCUAGCUCACCGGUUCUCACAGGCUUCCACGGCUGGGUCCCCGGCGUCCACUGCUUGCAGAACCUCGUGGACGUUCUCCUCCAGCCAGCUCAUGGUGGC